This 35-nucleotide ribosomal RNA is filed under the name Acer pilosum. Its description in RNAcentral is "partial 25S ribosomal RNA". Lineage: Eukaryota; Viridiplantae; Streptophyta; Magnoliopsida; Sapindales; Sapindaceae. The record is from RNAcentral.
GCGACCCCAGGUCAGGCGAGAUUACCCGCUGAGUU